This 301-nucleotide ribosomal RNA is filed under the name uncultured bacterium. RNAcentral's name for it is "partial 16S ribosomal RNA". It matches the Rfam family "Bacterial small subunit ribosomal RNA", at positions 509 to 807 of the family's 1533-position model. The record is from RNAcentral.
CAGCAGCCGCGGGAAUACGUAGGGUGCGAGCGUUAAUCGGAAUUACUGGGCGUAAAGCGUGCGCAGGCGGUGAGUUAAGUCUGCUGUGAAAUCCCCGGGCUCAACCUGGGAAUGGCAGUGGAUACUGGCUCGCUAGAGUGUGUCAGAGGAUGGUGGAAUUCCCGGUGUAGCGGUGAAAUGCGUAGAGAUCGGGAGGAACAUCAGUGGCGAAGGCGGCCAUCUGGGACAACACUGACGCUGAGGCACGAAAGCGUGGGGAGCAAACAGGAUUAGAUACCCCGGUAGUCCCUGUCUCUUAUAC